Molecule: long non-coding RNA, 1486 nt
Filed under: Anas platyrhynchos platyrhynchos (common mallard)
Lineage: Eukaryota; Metazoa; Chordata; Aves; Anseriformes; Anatidae
Description: lncRNA (ENSAPLG00000027274.1)
Source: RNAcentral
CACGCAGCUAAAUUGAGGGGCUUGCUUGUUUGUUCUUCACGAUCCCUGUAAAGAGAAACAUUUUAGGUUGGAGGGAGCUGGAAGGGAAGGCUGGAGGCAGCCUGGGAGGCUCUCCUUCGAGGCAGAUCUCCUCCCUGCUGGCUGACCUGGGUCAGGAUUUUCCCCUGGGCAGCCCUGUCUGGCCGUUCCCAUCAGGGAGGAUGGCCAGCACCGGCUGGAGGGCUGUGCUGGAGGGGGCACUCGGGACAAGGGGCUUGCUGUGCAGCUUCGUGCGCCACAGUGAAGCUGGAGCGGGUGCCACACAGCUGAAUCAGGGGCUGUGCCUGUGGCUUUAACUUCAUUUUCUGCUGCAGGCCUCCUGGUAUGUAAGAAAGCAAAUUCAAGCAUGCCGCUAUGUUCACCGAGGCAGCAAACUUGGGGGGGGGAGGGAGGUGGAGAAAAUUCCCCUCCUUCUGCAGUUCAUGGUGUUCUUCUAAACUAUUUAUAAAUAGGUCUACUGUAGCCAGUGUUUGCAUUUGGACUGCUUCACUGUUCUCGUUUUCAAGGCUUCUCUUAGAUCUGACAGUAAAGGUCAGGUUGACUCCCCUCAUCUGAAAUGAAGAGGGGAAGAAAAUUAACCCUGUAGUCAGGUGGCUCAAAGGCAGUAAUUCCCAUCAACGUGAGCAAGUUCUCCGUUGUGCGUGGCUGGGGCAGAGCGCCGGACCCACUCUCCCUUUUGCUCCAUUUUCGUUUCCCUGCCCUCUUCAUUAGCUGCUGACAGUUUUAGCUUCCUACGUCCAUUUAAAGAGAUUCCCCCCGCACAUCAUCUGGGAUUCAUGAACUGCAGAGAUCUGGCUAUUUUCAACUUUAAGCCACAGUUAAUCCAUGACCUUAGUGCUUUUGUCUCCAGGUCUGAAUUAUGAUUCCUGCCAAGUGGACACAAAGACAACUGAAGCAGGAAUGUACCCCGUACUCUGCAGUGCCCACUGCAAUGGCAGGACUCAGAUACCUCUUUUCUUGGAGCAGCUCAGCAGAAGAACACAAAGAUGUCACUUCUGGCAUGGAUCACCCAGCGGCGCAUCCCUGGAAGAUGGACUGGUGCUCAGGUGCUGAGGUUUCAGGUCAGACAGAACCCAUGGGGAUGCUUCUUAAUGCACCAGCCUGGCUCCAUCCAGCUUGCCAGCACCAAAAGGAGGCAUCCGACCCCCACAAGGCACAGGCAACUCCACUGCUUGUCCUGCUCCUGCUGACUUCUUCGCUGACCGGCAGCAGCCUGGUGUUGCUCAAUGCUCCCUGUACGUGUCUGUGCCCACCUGAGUGCAGGAUACGGCCUCCCCCUGCCCGUCACAACCGGGGCCAUCACCCAUGCUCAAUCACACCACAUCCCUCCGCAUGUGAAGCCUGCAAGUUUUGGGGCAUGUGUAGAAAUGAUUUCUUAACGUGUGUGUGUGAGCAGUUGGCUGCUGGGACAGGAAGAUGUGACUGUGCAGGCCCUUUGCAGCACUGA